RNAcentral lists this ribosomal RNA (466 nucleotides) under Vreelandella stevensii. RNAcentral's name for it is "partial 16S ribosomal RNA". It matches the Rfam family "Bacterial small subunit ribosomal RNA", at positions 338 to 795 of the family's 1533-position model. The record is from RNAcentral. Lineage: Bacteria; Pseudomonadati; Pseudomonadota; Gammaproteobacteria; Oceanospirillales; Halomonadaceae.
CCUACGGUGUGGCUGCAGUGGGGAAUAUUGGACAAUGGGCGAAAGCCUGAUCCAGCCAUGCCGCGUGUGUGAAGAAGGCCUUCGGGUUGUAAAGCACUUUCAGUGGGGAAGAAAGCCUUGGGGCUAAUACCCUCGAGGAAGGACAUCACCCACAGAAGAAGCACCGGCUAACUCCGUGCCAGCAGCCGCGGUAAUACGGAGGGUGCGAGCGUUAAUCGGAAUUACUGGGCGUAAAGCGCGCGUAGGCGGUCUGAUAAGCCGGUUGUGAAAGCCCCGGGCUCAACCUGGGAACGGCAUCCGGAACUGUCAGGCUAGAGUGCAGGAGAGGAAGGUAGAAUUCCCGGUGUAGCGGUGAAAUGCGUAGAGAUCGGGAGGAAUACCAGUGGCGAAGGCGGCCUUCUGGACUGACACUGACGCUGAGGUGCGAAAGCGUGGGUAGCAAACAGGAUUAGAUACCCGGGUAGUC